UACGUAGGGUGCGAGCGUUAAUCGGAAUUACUGGGCGUAAAGGGAGCGCAGGCGGAUAUAUAAGUUAGAUGUGAAAUCCCCGAGCUUAACUUGGGAACUGCAUUUAAGACUGUAUGUCUAGAGUUUAUUAGAGGGGGGUAGAAUUCCAAGUGUAGCAGUGAAAUGCGUAGAGAUUUGGAGGAAUACCAGUGGCGAAGGCGGCCCCCUGGGAUAGAACUGACGCUCAUGCUCGAAAGCGUGGGUAGCAAACAGG
Molecule: ribosomal RNA, 253 nt
Filed under: uncultured bacterium
Lineage: Bacteria
Description: partial 16S ribosomal RNA
Rfam family: Bacterial small subunit ribosomal RNA
Source: RNAcentral